Pipra filicauda (Wire-tailed manakin) is the source of this 453-nucleotide long non-coding RNA. RefSeq lists it as uncharacterized. NCBI's taxonomy places the organism in Eukaryota, Metazoa, Chordata, Aves, Passeriformes, Pipridae. The transcript has 4 exons. The record is from RefSeq and is a predicted model, not a curated record.
UGGCUUCCGAGAACAGGAUUCACACUAGUCUGUUAGCACAGCACAACAUUCCAUAUGGCCACACACUCCUCCUCACUGUUUACAAAAGGUUGCCACAAAUGAGUUGAUGUGUUCAUCCAUUUCCUCUGAAAUCCUGAGAAGAGGAGAAGCCCUCGCCUGGGAUGCCUUACAUGAGGAAGCAUAAAAAUACUAAACACAUGUAAACUCGUGAGCUGGAAUUCUCUGGCUCCAGUUAGGCAUGGGAAUUAGGCAAGGCUGGAGGAACUGCAAACCAGAGCCAAGUGAUGAUUGAUCUCUGUCGCCUCUUUCCUGCUUUUGUCUCGUGCUCUACAGAUGUUCAGCUGUGUCAAAGCAUCUUCAUAACUUCUCCAAGGCCAAGGAUGCUGAAAGAUGAUGGAAGAAAAUACCUGUUCAGCCACAGUGUAUGCCCAUGAAUUCUGGCUGCUGCUUGGG